RNAcentral lists this ribosomal RNA (701 nucleotides) under uncultured bacterium. Its description in RNAcentral is "bacterial SSU rRNA". It matches the Rfam family "Bacterial small subunit ribosomal RNA", at positions 84 to 820 of the family's 1533-position model. The record is from RNAcentral.
CUUCGGGUGGAGCGGCGGACGGGUUAGUAACGCGUGGGAAUAUACCCUUCACUAUGGAAUAGCCUCGGGAAACUGAGAGUAAUACCAUAUACGCCCUUCGGGGGAAAGAUUUAUCGGUGAAGGAUUAGCCCGCGUAAGAUUAGAUAGUUGGUGGGGUAAUGGCCUACCAAGUCUACGAUCUUUAGCUGGUUUUAGAGGAUGAUCAGCAACACUGGGACUGAGACACGGCCCAGACUCCUACGGGAGGCAGCAGUGGGGAAUCUUAGACAAUGGGCGCAAGCCUGAUCUAGCCAUGCCGCGUGAGUGACGAAGGUCUUAGGAUCGUAAAGCUCUUUCGCCAGAGAUGAUAAUGACAGUAUCUGGUAAAGAAACCCCGGCUAACUCCGUGCCAGCAGCCGCGGUAAUACGGAGGGGGUUAGCGUUGUUCGGAAUUACUGGGCGUAAAGCGUACGUAGGCGGAUUGGAAAGUAGGGGGUGAAAUCCCAGGGCUCAACCCUGGAACUGCCUCCUAAACUAUCAGUCUAGAGUUCGAGAGAGGUGAGUGGAAUUCCAAGUGUAGAGGUGAAAUUCGUAGAUAUUUGGAGGAACACCAGUGGCGAAGGCGGCUCACUGGCUCGAUACUGACGCUGAGGUACGAAAGUGUGGGGAGCAAACAGGAUUAGAUACCCUGGUAGUCCACACCGUAAACGAUGAAUGCCAGC